CCUACGGGAGGCAGCAGUGGGGAAUCUUGCGCAAUGGGCGAAAGCCUGACGCAGCGACGCCGCGUGAGGGAAGAAGGCCUUCGGGUUGUAAACCUCUUUCAGGAGGGACGAAGCCACUCGGGUUAAUACCCCGGAGGGUGACGGUACCUCCAGAAGAAGCCCCGGCUAACUACGUGCCAGCAGCCGCGGUAAUACGUAGGGGGCAAGCGUUGUCCGGAAUUAUUGGGCGUAAAGCGCGUGUAGGCGGCCAAGUAGGUCUGCUGUGAAAACUCGAGGCUCAACUUCGAGAUGUCGGCGGAAACCAUUUGGCUAGAGUCCGGAAGAGGAGAAUGGAAUUCCUGGUGUAGCGGUGAAAUGCGCAGAUAUCAGGAAGAACACCCGUGGCGAAGGCGGUUCUCUGGGACGGUACUGACGCUGAGACGCGAAAGCGUGGGGAGCGAACAGGAUUAGAUACCCUGGUAGUCCACGCCGUAAACGAUGGGUGCUAGGUGUGGGCGGUGUCGACUCCGUCCGUGCCGAAGCUAACGCAUUAAGCACCCCGCCUGGGGAGUACGGCCGCAAGGCUAAAACUCAAAGGAAUUGACGGGGGCCCGCACAAGCAGCGGAGCAUGUGGUUCAAUUCGACGAUACGCGAAGAACCUUACCAGGGCUUGACAUGCACUGGAAUGUCGUAGAAAUACGGCAGCCCUUCGGGGCUAGUGCACAGGUGGUGCAUGGCUGUCGUCAGCUCGUGUCGUGAGAUGUUGGGUUAAGUCCCGCAACGAGCGCAACCCUCGUUCUAUGUUGCCAGCACGCCCGCAUGGGGACUCAUAGGAGACUGCCGGGGUCAACUCGGAGGAAGGUGGGGAUGACGUCAAGUCAUCAUGCCCCUUAUGUCCAGCGCUUCACGCAUGCUACAUGGCCGGUACAAGGGCUGCGAUGCUGUAAUGCGGAGCGAAUCUAAAAAGCGGUCUCGGCUCGGAUCGGGGUCUGCAACUCGCCUCAUGAAUGCCGUAGUUG
RNAcentral lists this ribosomal RNA (999 nucleotides) under uncultured bacterium. Its description in RNAcentral is "bacterial SSU rRNA". It matches the Rfam family "Bacterial small subunit ribosomal RNA", at positions 338 to 1334 of the family's 1533-position model. The record is from RNAcentral.